CCCUUAGCCGUUCUGGGCCGCACGCGCGCUACACUGACGAAGGCAACGAGCUUUCCUUUACCGAAAGGUACGGGUAAUCUUUUGAAACUUCGUCGUGCUGGGGAUAGAUCCUUGCAAUUUUUGAUCUUAAACGAGGAAUUCCUAGUAAGCGCAAGUCAUCAACUUGCGUUGAUUACGUCCCUGCCCUUUGUACACACCGCCCGUCGCUACUACCGAUUGAAUGGUUUAGUGAGGCCUUCGGAUCCGCGACUCGUUUUGUGGAGAAGUUGGACAAACUCAGUCAUUUAGAGGAAGUAAAAGUCGUAACA
RNAcentral lists this ribosomal RNA (308 nucleotides) under uncultured eukaryote. RNAcentral describes it as "partial 18S ribosomal RNA". It matches the Rfam family "Eukaryotic small subunit ribosomal RNA", at positions 1470 to 1796 of the family's 1831-position model. The record is from RNAcentral.